RNAcentral lists this long non-coding RNA (344 nucleotides) under Cricetulus griseus (Chinese hamster). Its description in RNAcentral is "lncRNA (ENSCGRG00000026463.1)". The record is from RNAcentral. Lineage: Eukaryota; Metazoa; Chordata; Mammalia; Rodentia; Cricetidae.
CCCGUCCCCCCACCCCUGCUAGCCCAUCUCAGGGAUAUAAUCUAAGGAAUCUGGGGAGGGUAAGAGAACCUUCCCAACACCCACACCACAAGCCUAAGCAUGGCAAGGCGGCUUCUGGUACUCAAAGGAAGCUAUCAAAAUGAAGACUACUCCAGCAGGUGCUGGCCACCUUUCGAAUAUGGAGAUUCGUCAACAGCACAAAGCAGAGAGCAACAUAAACCGACACCUGCUUUGUGCAGAUGGAAGUUCAACUGUUCUAUCCAGCAUAACCACACCUGUCUCUAGUGAAUUCCUUCCCUGAUGGUGCUGUUCAAGGUGUCAAGUGAAAAUUUUCCAGGUAUUUG